CUUUUAGUGAAGAUGCCUGGAACGAAGUCGUCGUCCUAACAACAAAGAUUUCUUGCUUGCAUUUCAAACUUGCUGAAAGAGACCCAACACCUUUUCAUCGUGCAGCAAAGCUGACAAUUAAUUAUCAACCGGAAGAUGGCGAUUUUCCUCAACAGGAAAUCCUUGGAGUCUACUUGAGGAAUUGUAUUAUACACUAUGGAACGUACGUACAGAGAAACUCACCCAUUGUGGGCUCUUGCAGAAUACUGCAAGCGUACGUGUCCCAUUGCCAUUCAGAAAAAUUUGAAUUAAUUAGUGAACUAUAUAUAAGA
Molecule: long non-coding RNA, 311 nt
Organism: Corylus avellana
Lineage: Eukaryota; Viridiplantae; Streptophyta; Magnoliopsida; Fagales; Betulaceae
Source: RefSeq, a predicted model, not a curated record